GAUGAACGCUGGCGGCGUGCCUAAUACAUGCAAGUCGAGCGAACAGACGAGGAGCUUGCUCCUCUGACGUUAGCGGCGGACGGGUGAGUAACACGUGGAUAACCUACCUAUAAGACUGGGAUAACUUCGGGAAACCGGAGCUAAUACCGGAUAAUAUAUUGAACCGCAUGGUUCAAUAGUGAAAGACGGUUUUGCUGUCACUUAUAGAUGGAUCCGCGCCGCAUUAGCUAGUUGGUAAGGUAACGGCUUACCAAGGCAACGAUGCGUAGCCGACCUGAGAGGGUGAUCGGCCACACUGGAACUGAGACACGGUCCAGACUCCUACGGGAGGCAGCAGUGGGGAUUCUUCCGCAAAGGGCGAAAGCCUGACGGAGCAACGCCGCGUGAGUGAUGAAGGUCUUCGGAUCGUAAAACUCUGUUAUUAGGGAAGAACAAAUGUGUAAGUAACUAUGCACGUCUUGACGGUACCUAAUCAGAAAGCCACGGCUAACUACGUG
RNAcentral lists this ribosomal RNA (497 nucleotides) under uncultured bacterium. Its description in RNAcentral is "partial 16S ribosomal RNA". It matches the Rfam family "Bacterial small subunit ribosomal RNA", at positions 28 to 507 of the family's 1533-position model. The record is from RNAcentral.